CUUUCUCUUCAGUGACAAACACAGACAUAGAACAUUCACCAUGUACUUGAGACUGAACUGUGUAUUCAUAGUUUUUCUCUUAAAGGGUGUCCAGAGUGAAGUGAAACUUGAGGAGUCUGGAGGAGGCUUGGCGCAACCUGGAGGAUCCAUGAAACUCUCUUGUGCUGCCUCUGGAUUCACUUUUAGUGCCUACUGGAUGGAAUGGGUUCGCCAGUCUCCAGAGAAGGGGCUUGAGUGGGUUGCUGAAAUUAGAAACAAAGCUAAUAAUUAUGCAACAUAUUAUGAGGAGUCUGUGAAAGGGAGGUUCACCGUCUCAAGAGAUGAUUCCAAAAGUAGUGUCUACCUGCAAAUGAACAACUUAAGAGCUGAAGACACUGGCACUUAUUACUGUACAAGGCACAGUGAGAAGCCUUUAUUAUGA
This is a non-coding RNA of Mus caroli (Ryukyu mouse), 421 nucleotides long. The record is from the annotation of a RefSeq genome assembly. Lineage: Eukaryota; Metazoa; Chordata; Mammalia; Rodentia; Muridae.